GAUGAACGCUGGCGGCGUGCCUAAUACAUGCAAGUCGAGCGAACGGACGAGAAGCUUGCUUCUCUGAUGUUAGCGGCGGACGGGUGAGUAACACGUGGAUAACCUACCUAUAAGACUGGGAUAACUUCGGGAAACCGGAGCUAAUACCGGAUAAUAUUUUGAACCGCAUGGUUCAAAAGUGAAAGACGGUCUUGCUGUCACUUAUAGAUGGAUCCGCGCUGCAUUAGCUAGUUGGUAAGGUAACGGCUUACCAAGGCAACGAUGCAUAGCCGACCUGAGAGGGUGAUCGGCCACACUGGAACUGAGACACGGUCCAGACUCCUACGGGAGGCAGCAGUAGGGAAUCUUCCGCAAUGGGCGAAAGCCUGACGGAGCAACGCCGCGUGAGUGAUGAAGGUCUUCGGAUCGUAAAACUCUGUUAUUAGGGAAGAACAUAUGUGUAAGUAACUGUGCACAUCUUGACGGUACCUAAUCAGAAAGCCACGGCUAACUACGUGCCAGCAGCCGCGGUAAUACGUAGGUGGCAAGCGUUAUCCGGAAUUAUUGGGCGUAAAGCGCGCGUAGGCGGUUUUUUAAGUCUGAUGUGAAAGCCCACGGCUCAAUCGUGGAGGGUCAUUGGAAACUGGAAAACUUGAGUGCAGAAGAGGAAAGUGGAAUUCCAUGUGUAGCGGUGAAAUGCGCAGAGAUAUGGAGGAACACCAGUGGCGAAGGCGACUUUCUGGUCUGUAACUGACGCUGAUGUGCGAAAGCGUGGGGAUCAAACAGGAUUAGAUACCCUGGUAGUCCACGCCGUAAACGAUGAGUGCUAAGUGUUAGGGGGUUUCCGCCCCUUAGUGCUGCAGCUAACGCAUUAAGCACUCCGCCUGGGGAGUACGACCGCAAGGUUGAAACUCAAAGGAAUUGACGGGGACCCGCACAAGCGGUGGAGCAUGUGGUUUAAUUCGAAGCAACGCGAAGAACCUUACCAAAUCUUGACAUCCUUUGACAACUCUAGAGAUAGAGCCUUCCCCUUCGGGGGACAAAGUGACAGGUGGUGCAUGGUUGUCGUCAGCUCGUGUCGUGAGAUGUUGGGUUAAGUCCCGCAACGAGCGCAACCCUUAAGCUUAGUUGCCAUCAUUAAGUUGGGCACUCUAAGUUGACUGCCGGUGACAAACCGGAGGAAGGUGGGGAUGGCGUCAAAUCAUCAUGCCCCUUAUGAUUUGGGCUACACACGUGCUACAAUGGACAAUACAAAGGGCAGCGAAACCGCGAGGUCAAGCAAAUCCCAUAAAGUUGUUCUCAGUUCGGAUUGUAGUCUGCAACUCGACUACAUGAAGCUGGAAUCGCUAGUAAUCGUAGAUCAGCAUGCUACGGUGAAUACGUUCCCGGGUCU
This 1372-nucleotide ribosomal RNA is filed under the name uncultured bacterium. RNAcentral describes it as "bacterial SSU rRNA". It matches the Rfam family "Bacterial small subunit ribosomal RNA", at positions 28 to 1381 of the family's 1533-position model. The record is from RNAcentral.